Mandrillus leucophaeus (drill) is the source of this 727-nucleotide long non-coding RNA. RefSeq lists it as uncharacterized. The transcript has 3 exons. NCBI's taxonomy places the organism in Eukaryota, Metazoa, Chordata, Mammalia, Primates, Cercopithecidae. The record is from RefSeq and is a predicted model, not a curated record.
GGGACGUCCGGAGGCCAGUGACCUGGAGGCGUUGGGGCUGUCCUGGGCCGUCACUUGAGAGAGAACUUCUCACCCCAGCCAGGGUGAGGGAGUGAGAGCAAAAGAAAGUUUUGAUAGCAGCGUAUAGUUUAUGUUCAGCUGUAUGCUGGGCAGGCCCAACUUGGCAUUUCUUGGCUGUAUCUCUGAAGGAAAGUCAUCUCAAUCUCUGUGAGCCUCCAUUUCCUCAGUUGUAAAAUGGGAGUAUCUUCCUCACACUGCUGUGGCCCGGAACCAUAUCCUGCUCCACAAGCUUCAUCCUUGGCAAGGAGUUGCACCUGCCCAGAGAGAAAACCUUUUGAAACUGGCACAAAGGCACUGGAGAGACUGGCAAGGCCCCCCACUUGACGAUCUGGCUUAUCCGUCUGCACACUGACCAUGCUAAGAGCUGUCUGCAGUGUUGGAAAACUUCUCUAGCUGUGCUGUCCUCUAUAGUGGCACCAGCUGCCUGUGGCUUCUGAGCACUUAAACUGUGGCUGCAGAGACUAUGUUAAAUUGUAUUUAAUCAUAAUUAAUUUAAUUUUAGUUUCUGUACUGGGCAGGGCAGGUGCACAUUUCCUGCCUGGCCACGGACAGUAAGCUCCAUAGGAGGCUGAUUGUGCCUGGUUUGCUUAUAGGCUUAUCCUCAGCACCUGCACCAGUCUAGAAUAUGAUUGGCACUCUAUUAAUUAAAAGUUCCCAGGUAAAUGAA